This 882-nucleotide ribosomal RNA is filed under the name uncultured bacterium. Its description in RNAcentral is "bacterial SSU rRNA". It matches the Rfam family "Bacterial small subunit ribosomal RNA", at positions 43 to 917 of the family's 1533-position model. The record is from RNAcentral.
CCUCCGCAGCUACACAUGCAGUCGAGCGGAUGACGGGAGCUUGCUCCUUGAUUCAGCGGCGGACGGGUGAGUAAUGCCUAGGAAUCUGCCUGGUAGUGGGGGACAACGUUUCGAAAGGAACGCUAAUACCGCAUACGUCCUACGGGAGAAAGCAGGGGACCUUCGGGCCUUGCGCUAUCAGAUGAGCCUAGGUCGGAUUAGCUAGUUGGUGAGGUAAUGGCUCACCAAGGCGACGAUCCGUAACUGGUCUGAGAGGAUGAUCAGUCACACUGGAACUGAGACACGGUCCAGACUCCUACGGGAGGCAGCAGUGGGGAAUAUUGGACAAUGGGCGAAAGCCUGAUCCAGCCAUGCCGCGUGUGUGAAGAAGGUCUUCGGAUUGUAAAGCACUUUAAGUUGGGAGGAAGGGCAGUAAGCUAAUACCUUGCUGUUUUGACGUUACCGACAGAAUAAGCACCGGCUAACUCUGUGCCAGCAGCCGCGGUAAUACAGAGGGUGCAAGCGCUAAUCGGAAUUACUGGGCGUAAAGCGCGCGUAGGUGGUUUGUUAAGUUGGAUGUGAAAGCCCCGGGCUCAACCUGGGAACUGCAUCCAAAACUGGCAAGCUAGAGUACGGUAGAGGGUGGUGGAAUUUCCUGUGUAGCGGUGAAAUGCGUAGAUAUAGGAAGGAACACCAGUGGCGAAGGCGACCACCUGGACUGAUACUGACACUGAGGUGCGAAAGCGUGUGGAGCAAACAGGAUUAGAUACCCUGGGUAGUCCACGCCGUAAACGAUGUCAACUAGCCGUUGGAAUCCUUGAGAUUUUAGUGGCGCAGCUAACGCAUUAGGUUGACCGCCUGGGGAGUACGGCCCGCAAGGUUAAACUCAAAGGAAUUGACGGG